Molecule: ribosomal RNA, 404 nt
Filed under: Fusobacteriota bacterium
Lineage: Bacteria; Fusobacteriati; Fusobacteriota
Description: Fusobacteria bacterium partial 16S ribosomal RNA
Rfam family: Bacterial small subunit ribosomal RNA
Source: RNAcentral
UGGGGAAUAUUGCACAAUGGAGGGAACUCUGAUGCAGCGACGCCGCGUGAGUGAUGAAGGACUUCGUUUCGUAAAACUCUGUUCUAUGGGAAGAAAAGGACUGUACCAUAGGAGAAAGCUCCGGCUAAAUACGUGCCAGCAGCCGCGGUAAUACGUAUGGAGCGAGCGUUGUCCGGAAUUAUUGGGCGUAAAGGGUGCGCAGGCGGCUUUACAAGUUGGAUGUGAAAUAUUGUGGCUCAACCACAAACGUGCAUCCAAAACUGCAAAGCUUGAGUUAAGGAGAAGUAAGUGGAAUUCCUGGUGUAGCGGUGGAAUGCGUAGAUAUCAGGAGGAAUACCGGUGGCGAAGGCAACUUACUGGACUUAAACUGACGCUCAGGCACGAAAGCGUGGGGAGCAAACAGG